AUGGCCGGCACCGCAUCCUCUCACGCUUGCUCCGCUCCGCUCCUUCCUCCCAUCAGUUCGGAUGCGGUGCGCGCGUCCCCAACCCCUGAUGGCUCUCACGCCGAACCCGCCACUCCAGCUCCGCUCCCCCCCCCCUCGCGGUCGCCGUGGACCACCAGCGCCGUGCGCUCCUCUCGCCGCGCCGCACUCGCUCCUACCGUUGCUGUGCCGGCGCUGACGUGGGUAAGGUGUGGGCGAGACGGGCGUACCCGUAUGACGAGAUCGAGACGAGGUGGCAGGCGCGCUGGGAGGAGCACCCCGGACGCCUCCAGGCCCAAGGGCUACAUCCUCGGGAUGUUCCCUUACCCAAGCCACUGCCAAGCGUCCCAGCUGCCAAGUCCCACGCUCCACUUAUGUGCUUGGAUGUUGGAACCAUUGGCAACAUCGAUCCGAUGUGUACAGCUCCGGUAUCGUCCUUCUGGAGUUGCUCAAAGGGAUGAAGACCGUCGACAACGAUUGCAAUUUGCACCAGUUGGUGACGUGCACGGACAUGGGGCUGGUCCAGAAGGUGUUCCAGCUGGCCCUGCUGUGCACCAAGCGGCACCCCAUUGA
This 591-nucleotide ribosomal RNA is filed under the name Triticum aestivum (bread wheat). RNAcentral describes it as "partial small subunit ribosomal RNA". The record is from RNAcentral. Lineage: Eukaryota; Viridiplantae; Streptophyta; Magnoliopsida; Poales; Poaceae.